GCUAGUGUAGCUUAAACCAAAGCAUAACACUGAAGAUGUUAAG
Molecule: transfer RNA, 43 nt
Filed under: Metynnis sp. p32
Lineage: Eukaryota; Metazoa; Chordata; Actinopteri; Characiformes; Serrasalmidae
Description: partial tRNA-Phe
Source: RNAcentral